GGGUGAUUAGCUCAGUUGGUAGAGCGUUACGUUGACGUCGUAAAGGUCAGUGGUUCGAGACCGCUAUCACCCACCA
Molecule: transfer RNA, 76 nt
Filed under: Rickettsiales bacterium
Lineage: Bacteria; Pseudomonadati; Pseudomonadota; Alphaproteobacteria; Rickettsiales
Description: tRNA-Val
Rfam family: tRNA
About the family: Transfer RNA (tRNA) molecules are approximately 80 nucleotides in length. Their secondary structure includes four short double-helical elements and three loops (D, anti-codon, and T loops).
Source: RNAcentral